Molecule: ribosomal RNA, 393 nt
Filed under: Triticum aestivum (bread wheat)
Lineage: Eukaryota; Viridiplantae; Streptophyta; Magnoliopsida; Poales; Poaceae
Description: partial small subunit ribosomal RNA
Source: RNAcentral
AUGGGUAGAAGCAAGGUCAAUCCUAUUUGGGGUAAGAUCUGGAAAUUAGCUUGUCCGGCGAAGGUUAAAUUUUUUAUUUCGCGGAUGCUUCAUGGAACUCUACCAUGUCGUGUUACAUUGGCCAACAGACAUAUAAAAACUCAACCAAUAUGCCCAGCAUGUUUGGACGGGCCGGGGGACACGAAACAUAUAUUAUUUCUGUGUUAGAAGGCAGAUGUGUGGGAACAUUUGGGGUUGUAUGAAGUGGUAAAAAAAGCCUGCGUCGUUGAUCGUGCAGGAGAGGCAGUCCUUGAAUUCCUGCUCCUUAUGCCUGAUCAUGAACUACCCAUCUUGGGCUCCCAGAAUGCAUGGGAAUUUAUUGCUAAAGCUGCUUGGUAUUUAUGGUGGAAUAGA